GACGAACGCUGGCGGCGUGCUUAACACAUGCAAGUCGAGCGGUAAGGCCCUUUCGGGGGUACACGAGCGGCGAACGGGUGAGUAACACGUGGGUGACCUGCCCUCAGCUCUGGGAUAAGCCUGGGAAACCGGGUCUAAUACUGGAUAUGACUCCAUGACGCAUGUUGUGGGGUGGAAAGCCUUGUGCGGCUGAGGAUGGGCCCGCGGCCUAUCAGCUUGUUGGUGGGGUGAUGGCCUACCAAGGCGACGACGGUAGCCGGCCUGAGAGGCGACCGGCCACACUGGGACUGAGACACGGCCCAGACUCCUACGGGAGGGCAGCAGUGGGGAAUCUUGCGCAAUGGGCGAAAGCCUGACGCAGCGACGCCGCGUGAGGGAUGACGGCCUCGG
Molecule: ribosomal RNA, 390 nt
Filed under: uncultured bacterium
Lineage: Bacteria
Description: bacterial SSU rRNA
Rfam family: Bacterial small subunit ribosomal RNA
Source: RNAcentral